CCUACGGGUUGCAGCAGUAGGGAAUAUUGGACAAUGGGCGCAAGCCUGAUCCAGCCAUGCCGCGUGAGUGAUGAAGGCCUUAGGGUUGUAAAGCUCUUUCGGCGGGGAAGAUAAUGACGGUACCCGCAUAAGAAGCCCCGGCUAACUUCGUGCCAGCAGCCGCGGUAAUACGAAGGGGGCUAGCGUUGCUCGGAAUCACUGGGCGUAAAGCGCACGUAGGCGGACUCUUAAGUCAGGGAUGAAAUCCUGGAGCUCAACUCCAGAACUGCCUUUGAUACUGGGAGCCCUGAGUUAGGGAGAGGUGAGUGGAACUGCGAGUGUAGAGGUGAAAUUCGUAGAUAUUCGCAAGAACACCAGUGGAGAAGGCGGCUCACUGGCCCGAUACUGACGCUGAGGUGCGAAAGCGUGGGGAGCAAACAGGAUUAGAUACCCCGGUAGUC
RNAcentral lists this ribosomal RNA (440 nucleotides) under uncultured bacterium. RNAcentral's name for it is "bacterial SSU rRNA". It matches the Rfam family "Bacterial small subunit ribosomal RNA", at positions 338 to 795 of the family's 1533-position model. The record is from RNAcentral.